UACGGAGGGUGCAAGCGUUAUCCGGAUUCACUGGGUUUAAAGGGUGCGUAGGCGGGCAGGUAAGUCAGUGGUGAAAUCCUAGAGCUCAACUCUAGAACUGCCAUUGAUACUAUCUGUCUUGAAUAUUGUGGAGGUAAGCGGAAUAUGUCAUGUAGCGGUGAAAUGCUUAGAUAUGACAUAGAACACCAAUUGCGUAGGCAGCUUACUACACGAUCAUUGAC
Molecule: ribosomal RNA, 221 nt
Filed under: uncultured bacterium
Lineage: Bacteria
Description: partial 16S ribosomal RNA
Rfam family: Bacterial small subunit ribosomal RNA
Source: RNAcentral